CUAGCAGGAUUCCCCUAGUAACUGCGAGUGAAGCGGGAAAAGCUCAAAUUUAAAAUCUGGCAGUCUUUGGCUGUCCGAGUUGUAAUCUAGAGAAGUAAUGCCCGUGCUGGACCGUAUACAAGUCUCCUGGGAUGGAGCAUCAUAGAGGGUGAGAAUCCCGUCUUUGAUACGGACUACCAGUGCAUUGUGGUAUGCUCUCAACGAGUCGAGUUGUUUGGGAAUGCAGCUCAAAAUGGGUGGUAAAUUCCAUCUAAAGCUAAAUAUUGGCGAGAGACCGAUAGCGAACAAGUACCGUGAGGGAAAGAUGAAAAGAACUUUGGAAAGAGAGUUAAACAGUACGUGAAAUUGCUGAAAGGGAAACGCUUGAAGUCAGUCACGUCUGCUGGGAAUCAGCCUCGCUCCUGCGUGGUGUACUUUCUGGUAGACGGGUCAGCAUCAGUUUUGACCACUGGAAAAAGGUGUGGGGAAUGUGACAGCUCCGGCUGUGUUAUAGCCUCAUAUUGUAUACAGUGGUUGGGACUGAGGAACGCAGCACGCCGCAAGGCCGGGUCUUUGACCACGUUCGUGCUUAGGAUGCUGGCAUAAUGGCUUUAAGCGACCCGUCUUGAAACACGGACCAAGGAGUCUAACAUGCCUGCGAGUGUUUGGGUGGAAAACUCGAGCGCGCAAUGAAAGUGAAAGUUGAGAUCCCUGUCGUGGGGAGCAUCGACGCCCGGACCAGAACUUUUGGGACGGAUCCGCGGUAGAGCAUGUAUGUUGGGACCCGAAAGAUGGUGAACUAUGCCUGAAUAGGGUGAAGCCAGAGGAAACUCUGGUGGAGGCUCGUAGCGGUUCUGACGUGCAAAUCGAUCGUCAAAUUUGGGUAUAGGGGCGAAAGACUAAUCGAAC
This 888-nucleotide ribosomal RNA is filed under the name Micropsalliota arginophaea. RNAcentral's name for it is "partial large subunit ribosomal RNA". It matches the Rfam family "Eukaryotic large subunit ribosomal RNA", at positions 65 to 940 of the family's 3401-position model. The record is from RNAcentral. Lineage: Eukaryota; Fungi; Basidiomycota; Agaricomycetes; Agaricales; Agaricaceae.